RNAcentral lists this ribosomal RNA (890 nucleotides) under uncultured bacterium. RNAcentral's name for it is "bacterial SSU rRNA". It matches the Rfam family "Bacterial small subunit ribosomal RNA", at positions 45 to 920 of the family's 1533-position model. The record is from RNAcentral.
UGGAUUAGGCAUGCAAGUCGGACGGUAGGGCUUUAUCGUAAGAUAGAGUUUGAGAGUGGCGAACGGGUGAGUAACACGUAGGAAUCUACCCUUAAGACGGGGACAACCCAGGGAAACUUGGGCUAAUACCGGAUGAGAGUGCGAGAGAUUGCAUUUAAAAGGAUGGCGAAAGUUGUCGCUUAGGGAUGAGCCUGCGGUCUAUUAGUUAGUUGGUGAGGUAAGAGCUCACCAAGGCGAUGAUAGAUAGGCGGCCUUAACGGGUGGUCGCCCACACUGGGAUUGAGAUACGGCCCAGACUCCUACGGGAGGCAGCAGUCGAGAAUAGUCUACAAUGGCCGGAAGGCUGAUAGUGCGACGCCGCGUGAACGAGGGAGCCCUUCGGGGUGUAAAGUUCUUUUCUAUACGAGCAGUGCUAUAUAUAUGGAUAGUAUAUAUAGAGGGAUAGUAGUAUAGGAAUAAGCAACGGCUAACUCCGUGCCAGCAGCCGCGGUAACACGGGGGUUGCGAGCGUUGUCCGGAAUUACUAGGCGUAAAGGGCAGGUAGGCGGAUCUACGAGUUUUUUGUUAAAGGCUACGGCUCAACUGUAGUAGAGCAGGAGAUACUGUAGGUCUGGAAUGCGGUAGGGGAAGACAGAAUUCCUGGUGUAGCGGUGGAAUGCGCAGAGAUCAGGAGGAAUACCGAAGGCGAAGGCAGUCUUCUAGGCCGUAAUUGACGCUUAACUGCGAAGGUGUGGGGAUCAAACAGGAUUAGAUACCCUGGUAGUCCACACAGUAAACGAUAAUCACUAGAUGUCGGGUUCUAGAUGGAUUCGGUGUCGGAGCCAACGCGAUAAGUGAUUCGCCUGGGGAGUACGGUCGCAAGGUUGAAACUCAAAGGAAUUGACGGAAAU